This 1487-nucleotide long non-coding RNA is filed under the name Salmo salar (Atlantic salmon). Its description in RNAcentral is "lncRNA (ENSSSAG00000113020.1)". Lineage: Eukaryota; Metazoa; Chordata; Actinopteri; Salmoniformes; Salmonidae. The record is from RNAcentral.
ACGGCCUAUGCUCCCACGAAAGGCAGAGCUGCUGCUGUUGUCAGUCACUGACCGGUAGAUCAGUAAGUAACUGAACAGACUGUUUUGAACAGAAUAUUUUUUUAACAGGAAAAUGUAACCAUUUGCUGCCAUUUUAUCAGCAUUUUAAACAUAAUCCAUGAAUUAUAUAUUAUACAUACUCUAUAUUUGUAAAUAAAAAUAUUUUUUAAAAGGUUAUAAGCUCUGUACAUAACUCAACCUAUUUUGUUUAUAUUUAAAAUUUACCAUCAAUAUUUAUAUUUAUCAUCAAUAUUUAUAUUGACCUACAAAAUGUAUAUUGACCAACAGAAUUGAUAUUUACAUAUAGCCUUCAAUGUCCCAUUGCUGUUCUAUCCUGUGUAUAGCUGUGCGUUUCCUACCCCUCAGCCCCUCAGUGUGUUUGGCACAAUGGUGGAAAAGCUUCCCCAGUCUAAUUCAGACACUUAAUCAAGUAAUUUAAUGCAUUGUUAACCACAUUAAAAGGAGGUUGUUUCACAAUACCUUCUGAGUAAAACGGUUUGAAGGGUUACUGUGAAAUUAGCCUUUGACAGUUAGAAUGAUUAGAGGCUUUGAAAUUGCCUCUCCUUUAUGUUCUCUCCUCGUCCGUCGGUACCACUGGUGUGUUUGUGCGCCCUCCUCCGCCAUCAUGACUCUCUCUGCAGAUGAGGUGACUUUAAUUGACCCCCCUUUACAGGUUCUGUCUGUCGUUUAUCUUUCUCUCUUUUCUUUCAGUAUUCAAAGUGCUCAUAAUUGGAGCCCAGAGAGUACGUUUCUCAAACGAGAGGUUCCAUAAUUAUAACCUUUUUUUUCACUAUAUGAAUAGCCAAAUAGAAAACAGCUGCACAAUUGAUUCCCCUCAUUUGUUUUGACUGUCAUACUGAGUUUGGGUCCUUUCUGCUCCUGUAUAUUUUUCCUGCACUGUAGGUGAUGUGAGGAAAACAACCAUAUAUACACUAGCUACCUGGCUGUAGGUGAUGAUACACUAGCUACCUGGCUGUGGGUGUUGAUACACCUGGAACCUGGCUGUAGGUGUUGAUACACUAGGAACCUGGCUGUAGGUGUUGAUACACUAACUACCUGGCUGUAGGUGAUGAUACACUAGGAACCUGGCUGUAGGUGUUGAUACACUAGGAACCUGGCUGUAGGUGUUGAUACACUAGCUACCUGGCUGUAGGUGAUGAUACACUAGGAACCUGGCUGUAGGUGUUGAUACACUAGGAACCUGGCUGUAGGUGUUGAUACACUAGCUACCUGGCUGUAGGUGAUGAUACACUAGGAACCUGGCUGUAGGUGUUGAUACACUAGGAACCUGGCUGUAGUUGAUGUGAUACACUAGGAACCUGGCUGUAGGUGUUGAUACACUAGGAACCUGGCUGUAGUUGAUGUGAUACACUAGGAACCUGGCUGUAGGUGAUGAUACACUAGGAACCUGGCUGUAGGUGUUGAUGCAGUAGGAACCUGGCUGUAGG